RNAcentral lists this long non-coding RNA (216 nucleotides) under Elaeis guineensis (African oil palm). Its description in RNAcentral is "long non-coding RNA (EGUI_LNC060141)". Lineage: Eukaryota; Viridiplantae; Streptophyta; Magnoliopsida; Arecales; Arecaceae. The record is from RNAcentral.
ACAGGAUGGUGAUUUAUGGGCCUAGAAAGGGUGAUAAAAUCUCUGCCUUAUCUUGUUUAGGAUUUGUGCCCUUAAGAUGUUUUAUGGAUUUAUGCAAUAAAAGAAAAAAAGGGAUCAAAUUUGAUAGUUAAUCAAGUGUAAAUUGAUUUGUUUUACUUUUUAAGUUGUGUGAUUAAGUAUUUAAUUCUCUAAGUAGAUUAUGAGGUGUCAAUGUAG